This 728-nucleotide unclassified non-coding RNA is filed under the name Hevea brasiliensis (rubber tree). The record is from RNAcentral. Lineage: Eukaryota; Viridiplantae; Streptophyta; Magnoliopsida; Malpighiales; Euphorbiaceae.
UUUUCAUUUUUUUAACCAAAUCUUCAAUUUUAUCAAUUUGAUUCUCAAACUUUGACAUUAAUUUCAAUAAGAUUAAUUUGAUGACUAACCAAAAUAAACCAAACUUUUGCUCACAUCAAUUUUUAACUUAUCCUUUUACAUUUAUAUCAAUUUUGGCAAUCACAUUGAACUUGAUGAAUAAAAUUCCUAAGUGAAAUAAAAUAUUAUUUUAAUUAAUUUUUAUUUUUCUUUCCCUUCCUCAUGUCUCUCUCUCUUUUACCUCUCUUAAGUUCUCUUUCUCUCUCCUUACGGUGCUACUUCCUUUAGUACACAAAUGUUAAUAUUUGAGGGACAAAUAAAAAGAAUUGUCAAAAAUUGAUAAUGCAUGCAAAGAUUUGGAUAUUUUUUUUCAAUUUGUCAAUCUAAUUCUUUCUAAUUGGAUUGAUUGCUAAGAUUCAAGCCAGUUGAUUAUGCAAGUAAGAUUGGGAUUUUUUAAGUCAUUUAGCCCUAAAUAUCUUACUUUACCAUUUUAGCACCUUACAUGUUGCAGCCUUUGAUAUAUCAACAGUAUAUACAUGAAUUUGCAAUUAGGAAAGGAUAUGUGCAUAUUAUCUAAAAAAAAAAUCCCUUUGAUUGUGUGUCUGUGUGCCUACUUGUCUCAGUUUUCUGUUGUAUGCUAAAUGCCAUCGUUGUAGAUAAGUGCAAUUUGGUAUUAAGUUUGUUUGUCUGCAGUCUUUUGCAGAUUCGUG